GGUGGGGUUCCCGAGUGGCCAAAGGGGACGGGCUGUAAACCCGUUGGCGUUCGCCUUCGCAGGUUCGAAUCCUGCCCCCACCACCA
RNAcentral lists this transfer RNA (86 nucleotides) under Caminibacter profundus. RNAcentral's name for it is "tRNA-Tyr". It matches the Rfam family "tRNA". From Rfam's summary of the family: Transfer RNA (tRNA) molecules are approximately 80 nucleotides in length. The record is from RNAcentral. Lineage: Bacteria; Pseudomonadati; Campylobacterota; Epsilonproteobacteria; Nautiliales; Nautiliaceae. RNAcentral also lists the same sequence under 5 other names.